Cucumis sativus (cucumber) is the source of this 904-nucleotide long non-coding RNA. RefSeq lists it as uncharacterized. The transcript is spliced from 2 exons. The record is from RefSeq and is a predicted model, not a curated record. NCBI's taxonomy places the organism in Eukaryota, Viridiplantae, Streptophyta, Magnoliopsida, Cucurbitales, Cucurbitaceae.
UUGAUACUAAAUAGACAUGAAAUUCAAAAUUGAUUAACUAAACUUCUAGUUUAAGUAUGACCAAACAUUAAUUGACAUAUACCUUGUCUUCCAAGGUCAAGAGUCUAAUCUCUCUCCAUGGAGCUGCUGCAGCUGCACAUUUGUUUACUUUUCUUUUCACUUUCCCUUUUUUAGUGUAUAUAUAUAUUUUUAUAUUUGGAUGGUGUAGUUGAAUUGAAAUGAUUCCAUGCUUGACUAAAAGUGAUGAAACAGUGGCUGAUGAAGGCAAGCAAGACUAGGCCUGAAAGUUUCUUGUGUUAUGCAUUGUUUGGACAAGGAAAGAACCCAAAGCUUAAAAAAAGCUUACAGCUUUCUCUCCAAUUAAACUGGCAGCCAUUGCAGAGACCCAUCAGAACCCUUUCCUGCUUCCCCUUUCCUUGCCAUGGUUUGUCUGGGAAUAUUGUUUGGCUGCAAAAGAUCUCGCACCCCAACAGACUAUCUCCUCUCAGCUUUACUCCUCAUAGUCAUUCUUUCCUCUCUUCGUCUCCUCUGCUACCUCGUUUCUCGCUUCUUGAAACGACGACGCAACAACCAGCAUCCCGAUCCCACCUCCGAAGUUCAACCACAGACCGAUGUUGCUCAUCUUCAACAACCAACACCUAUGCCAGACAACAAGGUUCUUACCCCUGCUGAUGUUCUUCCUCUUGCUGCCUUCUCAAGAAAGUAAAGCAUGUCUCGGGUUGUCUUCGCCUCCGGGGGAGAAGUUAUGUAGAAAGAGAGAAGAGAGGUGCAAGUGCAAACAGAUUCCAUAGGAUUCACUCUUUUACUUUAAGAGGGAGGCAAUAACAAUUAACAUUUAAACACACAACACUCAGUGUCUUUCAGUGAAAUUCUUUAUCUACCAAGCAGGAAAUUGUUAGCAUUU